RNAcentral lists this ribosomal RNA (232 nucleotides) under uncultured bacterium. RNAcentral's name for it is "partial 16S ribosomal RNA". It matches the Rfam family "Bacterial small subunit ribosomal RNA", at positions 118 to 348 of the family's 1533-position model. The record is from RNAcentral.
UGAGGAACAUGACCUUCGGCGGGGGAUAGCCGGCCCAACGGCCGGGUAAUACCGCGUACGACCACAUGGGGACAUCCCCGAGUGGUGAAAGCAGCAAUGCGCCGAUGGAGUGCCUCGCGGCCUAUCAGCUAGUUGGUGAGGUAACGGCUCACCAAGGCGACGACGGGUAGCUGGUCUGAGAGGAUGGCCAGCCACAUUGGGACUGAGAUACGGCCCAGACUCCGUAGGGAGG